This 495-nucleotide ribosomal RNA is filed under the name uncultured bacterium. Its description in RNAcentral is "partial 16S ribosomal RNA". It matches the Rfam family "Bacterial small subunit ribosomal RNA", at positions 28 to 507 of the family's 1533-position model. The record is from RNAcentral.
GACGAACGCUGGCGGCGUGCCUAAUACAUGCAAGUAGAACGCUGAAGGAGGAGCUUGCUUCUCUGGAUGAGUUGCGAAAGGGUGAGUAACGCGUAGGUAACCUGCCUGGUAGCGGGGGAUAACUAUUGGAAACGAUAGCUAAUACCGCAUAAUAGUAGAUGUUGCAUGACAUUUACUUAAAAGGUGCAAUUGCAUCACUACCAGAUGGACCUGCGUUGUAUUAGCUAGUUGGUGGGGUAACGGCUCACCAAGGCGACGAUACAUAGCCGACCUGAGAGGGUGAUCGGCCCAACUGGGACUGGGGCACGGCCCAGACUCCUACGGGAGGGAACAGUAGGGAAUCUUCGGCAAUGGACGAAAGUCUGAACGAGCAACGCCGCGUGAGUGGAGGAGGGUUUCGGAUCGUAAAACUCUGUUGUAUGAGAAGAACGAGUGUGAGAGUGAAAAGUUCACACUGUGACGGUAUCUUACCAGAAAGGGACGGCUAACUACGUG